This 1482-nucleotide unclassified non-coding RNA is filed under the name uncultured Chaetothyriales. RNAcentral describes it as "sequence contains 18S rRNA gene, ITS1, 5.8S rRNA gene, ITS2, 28S rRNA gene". The stretch from base 542 to 1482 matches the Rfam family "Eukaryotic large subunit ribosomal RNA", at positions 1 to 961 of the family's 3401-position model. The record is from RNAcentral. Lineage: Eukaryota; Fungi; Ascomycota; Eurotiomycetes; Chaetothyriales.
GGAAGGAUCAUUACCGAGUUAGGGUGUCUGUUCGCAGCGCCCGACCUCCCAACCCUUUGUCUAUGAUACCUAAACAGUUGCUUCGGCGUGCCGAGGGGUCGUACCCUCGCCGGGCCUCACGGCCGGGAGCGCGCACGUCGACGGCCUUUAUCUAACACUUGAACCCAAAACCUGUCGUCUGAAAACUUGUGAUUAACCAAUAAUCAAAAACAAAACUUUCAACAACGGAUCUCUUGGUUCUGGCAUCGAUGAAGAACGCAGCGAAAUGCGAUAAGUAAUGCGAAUUGCAGAAUUUCCGUGAGUCAUCGAAUCUUUGAACGCACAUUGCGCCCAUUGGUAUUCCGAUGGGCAUGCCUGUUCGAGCGUCAUUAUCCUCUCUCCAACCUUUGGGUUGGGUGUUGGACCGAGUUGCGGGACCUCCGCAACUGGUCUCAAAGACAAUGACGGCGUCCGUGGGGACCCUCUUCGCAACGAGUCUUUCGAGGCACGCGGGGAGUCGCAAGGUCACUGCGGGCCGGUCUUACCUCUAUUUUUCUCAGGUUGACCUCGGAUCAGGUAGGAAUACCCGCUGAACUUAAGCAUAUCAAUAAGCGGAGGAAAAGAAACCAACAGGGAUUGCCUCAGUAACGGCGAGUGAAGCGGCAACAGCUCAAAUUUGAAAUCUGGCCCUCGGGUCCGAGUUGUAAUUUGUAGAGGAUGUUUCGGGCACCGUCGCGGUGUAAAUUUCUUGGAACAGAAUGUCAUAGAGGGUGAGAAUCCCGUCUGAAACCGCGAUAGGACCUAUGUGAAACUCCUUCGACGAGUCGAGUUGUUUGGGAAUGCAGCUCAAAAUGGGUGGUAAAUUUCAUCUAAAGCUAAAUAUUGGCCAGAGACCGAUAGCGCACAAGUAGAGUGAUCGAAAGAUGAAAAGCACUUUGAAAAGAGAGUUAAACAGUAUGUGAAAUUGUUGAAAGGGAAGCGCAGGCAAUCAGACUCGAGCGCGGGGUUCCCCCUGGCUUCUGCCAGGGUUACUUCCCCGUGACCGGGCCAACAUCAGUUCGAGGGACCGGUUAAAGGUCUCGGGAAUGUAUUCACUCCUUCGGGGGUGAACUUAUAGCCCGGGACGUCAUGCGGCCUCCCCGGACUGAGGAACGCGCUUCGGCGAGGAUGUUGGCGUAAUGGUUGUCUGCGACCCGUCUUGAAACACGGACCAAGGAGUCUAACAUCUAUGCGAGUGUUCGGGUGUCAAACCCUUGCGCGGAAUGAAAGUGAACGGAGGUAGGAAGGCCUGAGCCUGCACUAUCGACCGAUCCUGAUGUCUUCGGAUGGAUUUGAGUAAGAGCAUAGCUGUUGGGACCCGAAAGAUGGUGAACUAUGCGUGAAUAGGGUGAAGCCAGAGGAAACUCUGGUGGAGGCUCGCAGCGGUUCUGACGUGCAAAUCGAUCGUCAAAUUUGCGUAUAGGGGCGAAAGACUAAUCGAACCAUCUGGUAGCUGGUUCCUGC